GCCGCGAUGGUGGAAUUGGCAGACACGCAAGAUUCAGGAUCUUGUGGGCAUUACGCCUGUGAGGGUUCAAAUCCCUCUCGCGGCA
This 85-nucleotide transfer RNA is filed under the name Spirochaetes bacterium RBG_16_49_21. RNAcentral describes it as "tRNA-Leu". It matches the Rfam family "tRNA". Rfam says of the family: Transfer RNA (tRNA) molecules are approximately 80 nucleotides in length. The record is from RNAcentral. Lineage: Bacteria; Pseudomonadati; Spirochaetota.